RNAcentral lists this long non-coding RNA (2913 nucleotides) under Sus scrofa (pig). RNAcentral's name for it is "lncRNA (ENSSSCG00000047466.2)". The record is from RNAcentral. Lineage: Eukaryota; Metazoa; Chordata; Mammalia; Artiodactyla; Suidae.
GGACCCGGAAGUGGGGGGCUGCGGCGGGAGGUGAGGGCCGCCUGCCUGGCCGGACCCCAGGGGUGUCGGACGGUGGGCAGGGCCUCCUGGGAUCCCUGAGGCGCCGGCAGGAGGAGACGCCCUGGGGUCGGUGCCUCCACCUUCCCGUCCGGGCGGUUACAGCUUUCCCGCGUUCGCUGUCAGAGGCAGGGACCGGCGACCUCGGGGGCCUGGUCCCUGAGCCACAGCGGGGAGUCGUCCGAGCAUCUCGGGAUGAGGAAGGAGCCUGUGACUGACUACAGCAGGAGAGCAGGCGUGGCAUGGAUCCCGUGCAAGCCGGCAGUGGAGACCCAGCGCCUGAGAGUGACGUGGGGAACUAGCAGGAGCUAGAAGUGACUUAGGACGAGCUUUUGUAAAGCUGAGGUGUGAGUGUAAUAUCAGGAUGAUUUGACUGCAAGCAACAGAGAAUCAAACAGAAAUGGCCUAGGGAGUCCCUUCGUGGCUCCCCAGUUAACAAUCUGACUGGAUCAUGAGGAUGCAGGUUCAAUCCCCGGCCUCUAUCAGUGGGUGAAGGAUCUAGUGCUACCAUGAGCUGUGCUGUGGUGUAGGCUGGCGGCCGCAGCUCCAGUUGGACCCCUAGCCCGGGAACUUCCAUAUGCUGUGGGUGCAGCCCUAAAAAGCAAAAACAAACAAAAAAAUGAAACAAAACAAAACAAAAAAUCCACAAAAAAAUCAGAAAUGGCCUAAACAAAGAAGAAAACGUGUUAUCCCAUACUACAAGAAGUUUGGGGAUUGAGUGAGUGGUUAAAUGCAUGAUUAGUUUAGAAACUUGACAGCACCACCCAGGACCCAUUUUCCCUAAGGCGCUGCUGCCCCCCACCCUGUAGGCUUAGCCACCGCAGCAAAGACACCCCCCUUCCCCAACCAGAGCCCUGCGUCAGGACUGGAAGGGGCCUCCUUCCCUCCAUCCCCUUCCAGAACCUCCGCAGAAGACUCCCCUUGACGUCUCAUUCCAUCCCAUACUGGUCACUUUGCAGGGGAACGGAUUUACCAUGGUGGCCAGAGACAAUUAAGUCGCCCCCAUCUCUGGAGAACACUUGACCACUCAGUACCCAGCAACUCGGGUACUCCUGGCAAGAAAGAGACAGGUGAUACCCACUGGGUCCUGUCCACAGCGCCUGCCCCCAGCAACCUGUCUACCUGGAAAACUGAGGGGGUGCCACGCGGGUCUGUGUCUUCUCUGUAGUUUGCCCGAGUCUUUCCCAUUAGGUAAGUGUCGCCCUUUUCCCUCUUUGCGGCUUUCCUCCUUGGCACGUCACCCAGGUUUUGUUCAGCCACAAGGGGCGAUAGGCUGAAAGAGGAAUCUCCAGGCCUAGGUGAUGGGCCAGCCGUGGUGAUCCUCACCCGUUUGCCUGGGCACCGUUUGGGAAACGUCCCCCUGCUCACCACGGAGAUGAAAGACCAGGUCCCUGGAGGGGCUUCGCGGAAGGAUUUUUCUCCCCAGUAAAGCGGCAGACAAGCCAAGGGUCCGCCGCCCUACGCGCCGUCUGCCUUGAGCCGCCGCCAGCUCACAUCCUUGAGCAGAAACGUUGCAGGGAGGCAGAAAGCGCCGAGUCUCAUGGAUCGUGCUGAGCGUUGCAUCCACCCAGGACUGCUUACCUUCAGACUUCUGCUCCGGUGGCAGAGCAGCAAACCCCUAUUGUGUAAGCCUUUGUAGAUGGCUGGUGCCACUUGCUGCUGAAAGUGACAGAUAAUCUUUCUAGGAAUAUAACCCCUAAAGCCCUUUAUGGUAACAGAUGCACUUAGAGAAUGUAGUUUUCUUUCUUUUUCUUACUUAAAAAAAAAAAAAAAAAAAGCUGAAGUCUGCCUCAGGCAAAAAGACAAACUGAAAACAUAUGUAUGCAUAAUUGAAGUGCAAUCAAUAUUCAUUAGAAAAUGAACGAAUGUUCUUCAGGUUACUUUAAUAGUUUUCUCGGGAAUCUGUUUUUGGAUACGUAUGUCAGCUACAAUAUUUGGCACUUCCAGGAGCUCUGUGUUGAUGUCCUUCCUAGAAGUUGCACUUCUGCGCAUUUUUCUGCGCCUUUGGGGUCUCAGAUGUUCCUGGAAGGAAUCACUUUUCACUCCCCUGGCUUUUCCCUCGAACAGGUAACUUGUAACUUGCUGUUGCCUAUAGAUAUCGAGCAUUUGUCCAAAAAUAUGUUCCUACAAUACCUUCCUGUCUCAGCCAUUCCAUUCACAAGACAGUUUAAACAUUUCUCCAUGCUAUUCCACAGAUCAUUCAUAGAGGAACCAUCUGAACCAUGCAACAAAGUCUAGAAACUUUUAUGACUUUUAACUUCCACGACAAGUUAUCAUGUACUUGGUACCCUCAGCCAGGUACAUGUUAAGCUCAGGUUUCAUGUAUGUUAGCGUGGAGCCAUAUUUCCUUGUGGAUAAACCUAUAGAUUUAUCCCCACCCCCACUUCCCUUCCCAGAAGUAACUGUUGCCUUGACAACAGGGUAAGGACAGCAGUGAUGACGGCUGUGAUAACGAUUAUGAUAAUGAUGGCAGGAGAAACUGUAUGCUGGCCAUUAUCUAAGCACUUUACAUGCAUUAGCUCCUUUAACGCCCAAGGAGGCAUGUGACAGAAAUGCUAUUUUUAUCCCCGUGUUAGAGAUGAGGGCUGAGGAAAGACUGGUGAGGUGCCUUGCCCAAGGCCACACGUCUGGUCCCCAGAGAAGCCAGGCUUCCUACCCAGGCAACCCAGGGGUCCCAUACACUGUCGCUGCCUGAUAGGUAGCAGUGGUGGUGAUACACACUUCCUCUAGGUACAUGCGCAUCCAUAAUAAAGACGCAGUAGACUUAUUUGCAUAUUUUAAAAAGUGUAUGGUUUCAGAACAUUUGUUGUUUUUCCCUGUUAUGAAUCGUGUCGCAGUAAACGUCUCGCGUGCAUC